AGAGUUUGAUCAUGGCUCAGAACAAACGCUGGCGGCGUGCCUAAUACAUGCAAGUCUAACGGGUAGCAAUAUCAGUGGCGCACGGGUGAGGAAUAUAUGGGUAAUCUGCCCUCGAGUCGGGAUAACCAGUCGAAAGACUGGCUAAUACCGGAUAAGACCACAAGAUCUGCGGAUCUAGGGGUUAAAGGUUUUCGCUUGAGGAUGAGCCCAUACGGGAUUAGCUAGUUGGUGAGGUAAUGGCUCACCAAGGCUACGAUCCCUAACUGGUCUUAGAGGAUGAUCAGUCACACUGGAACUGAGACACGGUCCAGACUCCUACGGGAGGCAGCAGUAGGGAAUAUUGCACAAUGGGGGAAACCCUGAUGCAGCGACGCCGCGUGAGUGAUGAAGGCCUUCGGGUCGUAAAGCUCUGUCGUAUGGGACUAACACAAUGAAGGUACCAUGCAAGAAAGGAUCGGCUAACUUCGUG
Molecule: ribosomal RNA, 469 nt
Filed under: uncultured bacterium
Lineage: Bacteria
Description: bacterial SSU rRNA
Rfam family: Bacterial small subunit ribosomal RNA
Source: RNAcentral